ACGAACGCUGGCGGCGUGCUUAACACAUGCAAGUCGAACGAAGAGCGACGGAAGCUUGCUUCUAUCAAUCUUAGUGGCGAACGGGUGAGUAACGCGUAAUCAACCUGCCCUUCAGAGGGGGACAACAGUUGGAAACGACUGCUAAUACCGCAUACGAUCUAACCUCGGCAUCGAGGAUAGAUGAAAGGUGGCCUCUACAUGUAAGCUAUCACUGAAGGAGGGGAUUGCGUCUGAUUAGCUAGUGGGAGGGGUAACGGCCCACCAAGGCGAUGAUCAGUAGCCGGUCUGAUAGGAUGAGCGGCCACAUUGGGACUGAGACACGGCCCAGACUCCUACGGGAGGCAGCAGUGGGGAAUCUUCCGCAAUGGACGAAAGUCUGGCGGAGCAACGCCGCGUGAGUGAUGACGGCCUUCGGGUUGUAAAGCUCUGUUAAUCGGGACGAAAGGCCUUCUUGCGAAUAGUGAGAAGGAUUGACGGUACCGGAAUAGAAAGCCACGGCUAACUACGUG
Molecule: ribosomal RNA, 509 nt
Filed under: uncultured bacterium
Lineage: Bacteria
Description: partial 16S ribosomal RNA
Rfam family: Bacterial small subunit ribosomal RNA
Source: RNAcentral